GCGUGUGUGAUGAAGGCCUUAGGGUUGUAAAACACUUUCAAUGGUGAAGAUGAUGACGGUAACCAUAGAAGAAGCCCCGGCUAACUUCGUGCCAGCAGCCGCGGUAAUACGAAGGGGGCGAGCGUUGUUCGGAAUUACUGGGCGUAAAGGGCGCGCAGGCGGCCAAUCCAGUCAGGUGUGAAAGCCCCGAGCUCAACUUGGGAACUGCACUUGAUACUGAUUGGCUAGAAAACGGAAGAGGGCAGUGGAAUUCCCAGUGUAGAGGUGAAAUUCGU
This 275-nucleotide ribosomal RNA is filed under the name uncultured bacterium. RNAcentral describes it as "partial 16S ribosomal RNA". It matches the Rfam family "Bacterial small subunit ribosomal RNA", at positions 399 to 691 of the family's 1533-position model. The record is from RNAcentral.